UACGAAGGGGGCUAGCGUUGCUCGGAAUCACUGGGCGUAAAGCGCACGUAGGCGGAUCUUUAAGUCAGGGGUGAAAUCCCGGAGCUCAACUCCGGAACUGCCUUUGAUACUGAGGAUCUUGAGUCCGGGAGAGGUGAGUGGAACUGCGAGUGUAGAGGUGAAAUUCGUAGAUAUUCGCAAGGACACCAGUGGCGAAGGCGGCUCACUGGCCCGGUACUGACGCUGAGGUGCGAAAGCGUGGGGAGCAAACAGG
This 253-nucleotide ribosomal RNA is filed under the name uncultured bacterium. Its description in RNAcentral is "partial 16S ribosomal RNA". It matches the Rfam family "Bacterial small subunit ribosomal RNA", at positions 524 to 776 of the family's 1533-position model. The record is from RNAcentral.